Molecule: ribosomal RNA, 253 nt
Filed under: uncultured bacterium
Lineage: Bacteria
Description: partial 16S ribosomal RNA
Rfam family: Bacterial small subunit ribosomal RNA
Source: RNAcentral
UACGUAGGGGGCAAGCGUUGUCCGGAUUUAUUGGGCGUAAAGAGCAUGUAGGCGGCUUGGCAGGUCCGCUGUGAAAACUCGAGGCUCAACCUCGAGAUGUCGGCGGAAACCACUUGGCUAGAGUCCGGAAGAGGAGAGUGGAAUUCCCGGUGUAGCGGUGAAAUGCGCAGAUAUCGGGAAGAACACCUAUGGCGAAGGCAGCUCUCUGGGACGGUACUGACGCUGAGACGCGAAAGCGUGGGGAGCGAACAGG